UACGGGGGGGACGAGCGUUGUUCGGAUUUACUGGGCGUAAAGGGCGCGUAGGCGGACCUUCAAGUCGGGUGUGAAAACUGUCGGCUUAACUGACAGCCUGCACUUGAUACUGUUGGCCUUGAGUACGGGAGAGGAGAGCGGAAUUCCUGGUGUAGCGGUGAAAUGCGUAGAUAUCAGGAAGAACACCGGUUGCGAAGGCGGCUCUCUGGACCGAUACUGACGCUCAAGCGCGAAGGCUUGGGGAGCAAACAGG
This 253-nucleotide ribosomal RNA is filed under the name uncultured bacterium. RNAcentral's name for it is "partial 16S ribosomal RNA". It matches the Rfam family "Bacterial small subunit ribosomal RNA", at positions 524 to 776 of the family's 1533-position model. The record is from RNAcentral.